This 254-nucleotide ribosomal RNA is filed under the name uncultured bacterium. RNAcentral describes it as "partial 16S ribosomal RNA". It matches the Rfam family "Bacterial small subunit ribosomal RNA", at positions 524 to 777 of the family's 1533-position model. The record is from RNAcentral.
UACGAAGGGGGCUAGCGUUGUUCGGAAUUACUGGGCGUAAAGCGCACGUAGGCGGACCUGCAAGUCGGGGGUGAAAGCCCGAGGCUCAACCUCGGAACUGCCUUCGAUACUGCGGGUCUCGAGUCCGGGAGAGGUGAGUGGAAUUCCUAGUGUAGAGGUGAAAUUCGUAGAUAUUAGGAAGAACACCAGUGGCGAAGGCGGCUCACUGGCCCGGUACUGACGCUGAGGCGCGAAAGCGUGGGGAGCAAACAGGG